Molecule: transfer RNA, 18 nt
Filed under: Eriobotrya japonica
Lineage: Eukaryota; Viridiplantae; Streptophyta; Magnoliopsida; Rosales; Rosaceae
Also listed under: 34 other names
Description: partial tRNA-Phe
Source: RNAcentral
UGGUAGAGCAGAGGACUG